Molecule: ribosomal RNA, 270 nt
Filed under: uncultured bacterium
Lineage: Bacteria
Description: partial 16S ribosomal RNA
Rfam family: Bacterial small subunit ribosomal RNA
Source: RNAcentral
AGCGAACGCUGGCGGCGUGCCUAACACAUGCAAGUCGAACGUGAAACCCCGCAAGGGGGAGUAAAGUGGCGUACGGGUGAGUAACACGUAGGUAAUCUACCAAAGAGUCUGGAAUAACCGGCCGAAAGGCUGGCUAAUACUGGAUAGAGCGACGGAAUCCGUAAUUGGGUUUUUUCGGGAAAGGGAGGACGUAAGUCCCUUCGCUCUUUGAUGAGCCUGCGUCUCAUUAGGUAGUUGGUAAGGUAACGGCUUACCAAGCCUUUGAUGGGU